Molecule: non-coding RNA, 1089 nt
Organism: Zootermopsis nevadensis
Lineage: Eukaryota; Metazoa; Arthropoda; Insecta; Blattodea; Termopsidae
Source: RefSeq, a predicted model, not a curated record
GUCUGCUGGCUGUCAUUUGUCAGUCGUGAACUACGUAGCUUAUCUACGGUAGGAAACGGGGAUUCGCUCUUGAACAUAUGCGGUAAAUUUGCUCUAUGAGCUUCAGGUGCUUCAAGAAUUUGUGAUAUUUCUAGUUUUUUAAAUACCAAAUAUUUGAAAAGAUGUCUGAAGAAGGACUGGAAUAUGAUGCUAUAAUUCAAGAUGGACCGAGAAAGGCUGCCAUGACAACAAGCAUAGACCGAGAUAAGAUCACAGCAGCUUAUGAGGACGUCCGUUCUGAUAACUCCGAUACAGAAUGGGCUGUAUUCAAGUUUGAAGACACGCACAUCUUCUGCUCAGCCAAGGGUACACAAUUUGAGAAAUUCCGUGAACAGUUUGCUGAUGAUGAAAGAGCUUUUGGGUACAUCAGACUUCAGAUGGGUGAUGAAAUGAGUAAGCGACAAAAAUUUCUGUUUUUGACCUGGGUGGGACCAUCAGUGGGAGUCAUCAAAAGGGCCAAGAUGAGCACAGACAAGGCCAUGGUCAAAGAGAUUAUCAUGAAUUUUGCUGUGGAGCUACAACUGGAAAACAAAAAUGAGUUUGAAAUUGAUCACUUCCGUGAGCAACUUCUGCGUGCUGGCGGAGCUAACUAUGGUACUGGCAUGCGUGAUGCUUAGCAGGUCCAGUAGGCCUAGUAUGUGACAAGACAAGUGAUGGAACACUUCAGAAUUUUUGUAUCAGUGAAUCAAAUUGCCAAUAAUGAUCACAAACUUGUGUACGUUUAUGACAGAAAUAUUUUGUAGUCUUCAGUGCUGGAUUACAGUUUGAAGAGAGGAAGAUGUAAUUACUAUGGAGAGUUAUUGCUGCUUUAAAUAUCACAAUAGAUUUGCAAAUAAGAUGAUCAUAAGUGAGGACAUAAACAUUUUAUUUAUAUCGAUCUUGUUUCUGUUUGUAACUUAAUUUGUUAUGCAAGAAUCAAUGUAGCAGCAACCAUAGCUUAAUUUUACUCUUUGGAAAGGAAAUGUUUUCAUUAAUAAGUAAACUUCAAAAAUCUACAACAAACUAUAAACCUGUUUGUAAGGAAUAUAUACAUUAAAAUUUAUAAGAAUU